CAGCCGCCACGGGAAUACAGAGGGUGCAAGCGUUAAUCGGAUUUACUGGGCGUAAAGGGCGCGUAGGUGGUUAUGUAAGUGAGAUGUGAAAUCCCCGGGCUCAACCUGGGAACUGCAUCUUAUACUGCGUAGCUGGAGUGCAGUAGAGGGUAGUGGAAUUUCCGGUGUAGCGGUGAAAUGCGUAGAUAUCGGAAGGAACACCAGUGGCGAAGGCGGCUACCUGGACUGACACUGACACUGAGGCGCGAAAGCGUGGGGAGCAAACAGGAUUAGAUACCCCCGUAGUCCCUGUCUCUUAUAC
This 301-nucleotide ribosomal RNA is filed under the name uncultured bacterium. Its description in RNAcentral is "partial 16S ribosomal RNA". It matches the Rfam family "Bacterial small subunit ribosomal RNA", at positions 509 to 807 of the family's 1533-position model. The record is from RNAcentral.